RNAcentral lists this transfer RNA (82 nucleotides) under Staphylococcus aureus. Its description in RNAcentral is "tRNA-Leu-TAG". Lineage: Bacteria; Bacillati; Bacillota; Bacilli; Caryophanales; Staphylococcaceae. The record is from RNAcentral.
UCCCCUCCACCGCCACUAUUUAUUAGUUGUAAAAUUAUAUUUAGGACCUUUAGCUCAGUUGGUUAGAGCUAACGGCUCAUAA